Molecule: non-coding RNA, 540 nt
Organism: Plectropomus leopardus (leopard coralgrouper)
Lineage: Eukaryota; Metazoa; Chordata; Actinopteri; Perciformes; Serranidae
Source: the annotation of a RefSeq genome assembly
UGACAGCUGUCCUUCAUGACAACAGAAGACACAGAAAUGGUCCUCAUCAAAAACAUGACUUUGACCUGCGUCCUCAUCUGGACUCUCCUCUGCUGCUGCUUCACAGAGUCCAGAGGUCAGGUCACAGUGACUCAGCCUGGAGCAGUGAGAUCUGCUGUGGGAUGCUCUGUCUCCAUCACAUGUAGGACCAGUCAGGAUAUUUAUGGUGGGAACUACUUUCACUGGUACCAACAGAGAGACGGAGAAGCCCCUAAAAUGCUUAUUUCUUAUACCAGCACUCGAGUAUCAGGGAUUCCAGAUCGUUUUUCAGGCAGAGGAUCAAACUCUGACUUCACUCUGACCAUCAGUGGAGUUCAGACUGAAGAUGCAGCAGUUUAUUACUGUCUGAGUGGUCAUUAUAUCGGCAGUCAGUGGCUGUUCACACAGUGAAAAAGCGUCGUACAAAAACCUCCCUCAGUCAGACUGAACAGAAACUGAAGUGACAGCUGCAGCUGGAAGCUACUGCAGAGACUGAUACACUUCACUGACACACACACACAC